GGGGAUUCUCGAACGAUUCUCCGUCGCCUUCUGUCAACUCAGUUCAGCUCGUUUUUGUUUUGAAAGUUUCUGUAUCGUUGGUUGUUAGAAAGUUCGAGGUGAAUCGAGUGGUAAAUCGAAAGUUAUAUUGAUAUCAGCGGGUCACAUCUUCAUAGAAUCGACGUUUUGGGUAAUUUUUCCAACGUCUUGGGCCUGAUUUCGGCGAGAUUUCAGACUCUAGGGUUUCUGUCAUUCGGAGCUAAGGGUUUUCUGUGAAAUCAAAGGCCGUUCUUCUCCGGUUGCGAAGAAGUGGGGUAAAUCUGUUCUCACUCUUAGUUGAAAGGAUUUUUCAUGUGGUUUUUGAUACAACUUUUAUAUUCCAAACUGUUCAUAGAGACUGUUUUUACCUUAAUUUCACUGAUAUUCAUGAUAUUAAACAUGAGUGUUAAUAAUACCCUUUCUACCGAUUCUACGAGCCCUCUUUUUGUUUAUUCUUCUGAUGUUCCUGGAGUAUCACUCGUUCCUACUCCAUUUUUGGGUAGUGGUUAUGGG
Molecule: long non-coding RNA, 531 nt
Filed under: Nicotiana benthamiana
Lineage: Eukaryota; Viridiplantae; Streptophyta; Magnoliopsida; Solanales; Solanaceae
Description: long non-coding RNA (NBEN_LNC014922)
Source: RNAcentral